This 881-nucleotide ribosomal RNA is filed under the name uncultured archaeon. Its description in RNAcentral is "bacterial SSU rRNA". It matches the Rfam family "Archaeal small subunit ribosomal RNA", at positions 30 to 922 of the family's 1478-position model. The record is from RNAcentral.
CUUUUCCAGUGGGGCUUGCAUGCGAGUCACAUAGCAAUAUGUGGCAUACGGCUCAGUAACACGUAGUCAACAUGCCCAGGGGACGUGGAUAACCUCGGGAAACUGAGGAUAAACCACGAUAAGUCACUACUUCUGGAAUGGGUAAUGACUCAAAUCUACAUGGCCCCUGGAUUGGACUGCGGCCGAUCAGGCUGUUGGUGAGGUAAUGGCCCACCAAACCUGUAACCGGUACGGGCUCUGAGAGGAGGAGCCCGGAGAUGGGCACUGAGACAAGGGCCCAGGCCCUAUGGGGCGCAGCAGGCGCGAAACCUCUGCAAUAGGCGAAAGCCUGACAGGGUUACUCUGAGUGAUUUCCGUUAAGGAGAUCUUUUGGCACCUCUAAAAAUGGUGCAGAAUAAGGGGUGGGCAAGUCUGGUGUCAGCCGCCGCGGUAAUACCAGCACCCCGAGUGGUCGGGACGUUUAUUGGGCCUAAAGCAUCCGUAGCCGGUUCUACAAGUCUUCCGUUAAAUCCACCUGCUUAACAGAUGGGCUGCGGAAGAUACUAUAGAGCUAGGAGGCGGGAGAGGCAAGCGGUACUCGAUGGGUAGGGGUAAAAUCCGUUGAUCCAUUGAAGACCACCAGUGGCGAAGGCGGCUUGCCAGAACGCGCUCGACGGUGAGGGAUGAAAGCUGGGGGAGCAAACCGGAUUAGAUACCCGGGUAGUCCCAGCUGUAAACGAUGCAGACUCGGUGAUGAGUUGGCUUUAUGCCAACUCAGUGCCGCAGGGAAGCCGUUAAGUUUGCCGCCUGGGGAGUACGGUCGCAAGACUGAAACUUAAAGGAAUUGGCGGGGGAGCACCACAAGGGGUGAAGCCUGCGGUUCAAUUGGAGUCAACGCCGGG